AAACUCAAAUGAAUUGACGGGGGCCCGCACAAGCGGNGGAGCAUGUGGUUUAAUUCGAUGCAACGCGAAGAACCUUACCUGGCCUUGACAUCCAGAGAACUUAGCAGAGAUGCUUUGGUGCCUUCGGGAACUCUGAGACAGGUGCUGCAUGGCUGUCGUCAGCUCGUGUUGUGAAAUGUUGGGUUAAGUCCCGCAACGAGCGCAACCCUUAUCCUUUGUUGCCAGCGGUUCGGCCGGGAACUCAAAGGAGACUGCCGGUGAUAAACCGGAGGAAGGUGGGGAUGACGUCAAGUCAUCAUGGCCCUUACGGCCAGGGCUACACACGUGCUACAAUGGCGCAUACAAAGAGAAGCGACCUCGCGAGAGCAAGCGGACCUCAUAAAGUGCGUCGUAGUCCGGAUUGGAGUCUGCAACUCGACUCCAUGAAGUCGGAAUCGCUAGUAAUCGUAGAUCAGAAUGCUACGGUGAAUACGUUCCCGGGCCUUGUACACACCGCCCGUCACACCAUGGGAGUGGGUUGCAAAAGAAGUAGGUAGCUUAACCUUCGGGAGGGCGCUUACCACUU
RNAcentral lists this ribosomal RNA (565 nucleotides) under Pantoea sp. DJM4. RNAcentral's name for it is "bacterial SSU rRNA". It matches the Rfam family "Bacterial small subunit ribosomal RNA", at positions 897 to 1462 of the family's 1533-position model. The record is from RNAcentral. Lineage: Bacteria; Pseudomonadati; Pseudomonadota; Gammaproteobacteria; Enterobacterales; Erwiniaceae.